UGGGGAAUUUUUGGACAAUGGGGGCGAACCCUCGAUCCCAGCAAAUUGCCGCGUGAGUGAAGAAGGCCUUCGGGUUGUAAAGCUCUUUUGUCAGGGAAGAAACGGUGGUGGCGAAUAACUACUACUAAUGACGGUACCUGAAGAAUAAGCACCGGCUAACUACGUGCCAGCAGCCGCGGUAAUACGUAGGGUGCAAGCGUUAAUCGGAAUUACUGGGCGUAAAGCGUGCGCAGGCGGUUGUGUAAGUCAGAUGUGAAAUCCCGCC
This 265-nucleotide ribosomal RNA is filed under the name uncultured Herbaspirillum sp. RNAcentral describes it as "partial 16S ribosomal RNA". It matches the Rfam family "Bacterial small subunit ribosomal RNA", at positions 355 to 606 of the family's 1533-position model. The record is from RNAcentral. Lineage: Bacteria; Pseudomonadati; Pseudomonadota; Betaproteobacteria; Burkholderiales; Oxalobacteraceae.